Molecule: ribosomal RNA, 467 nt
Filed under: uncultured bacterium
Lineage: Bacteria
Description: partial 16S ribosomal RNA
Rfam family: Bacterial small subunit ribosomal RNA
Source: RNAcentral
GACGAACGCUGGCGGCGUGCUUAACACAUGCAAGUCGAACGGAAAGGCCCUGCUUUUGUGGGGUGCUCGAGUGGCGAACGGGUGAGUAACACGUGAGUAACCUGCCCUUGACUUUGGGAUAACUUCAGGAAACUGGGGCUAAUACCGGAUAGGAGCUCCUGCUGCAUGGUGGGGGUUGGAAAGUUUCGGCGGUUGGGGAUGGACUCGCGGCUUAUCAGUUUGUUGGUGGGGUAGUGGCUUACCAAGGCUUUGACGGGUAGCCGGCCUGAGAGGGUGACCGGCCACAUUGGGACUGAGAUACGGCCCAGACUCCUACGGGAGGCAGCAGUGGGGAAUAUUGCACAAUGGGCGGAAGCCUGAUGCAGCAACGCCGCGUGCGGGAUGACGGCCUUCGGGUUGUAAACCGCUUUCGCCUGUGACGAAGCGUGAGUGACGGUAAUGGGUAAAGAAGCACCGGCUAACUACGU